GUACGGGAGGCAGCAGUAGGGAAUCUUGCGCAAUGGGCGAAAGCCUGACGCAGCCAUGCCGCGUGAAUGAUGAAGGUCUUAGGAUUGUAAAAUUCUUUCACCGGGGAAGAUAAUGACGGUACCCGGAGAAGAAGCCCCGGCUAACUUCGUGCCAGCAGCCGCGGUAAUACGAAGGGGGCUAGCGUUGCUCGGAAUUACUGGGCGUAAAGGGCGCGUAGGCGGACAUUUAAGUUAGAGGUGAAAGCCCAGGGCUCAACCCUGGAAUAGCCUUUAAUACUGGAUGUCUUGAGUUCGGGAGAGGUGAGUGGAACUCCGAGUGUAGAGGUGAAAUUCGUAGAUAUUCGGAAGAACACCAGUGGCGAAGGCGACUCACUGGCCCGAUACUGACGCUGAUGCGCGAAAGCGUGGGGAGCAAACAGGAUUAGAUACCCCUGUAGUCCC
Molecule: ribosomal RNA, 441 nt
Filed under: uncultured bacterium
Lineage: Bacteria
Description: bacterial SSU rRNA
Rfam family: Bacterial small subunit ribosomal RNA
Source: RNAcentral